Long non-coding RNA from Dermacentor silvarum, 265 nucleotides. RefSeq lists it as uncharacterized. The transcript has 3 exons. The record is from RefSeq and is a predicted model, not a curated record. Lineage: Eukaryota; Metazoa; Arthropoda; Arachnida; Ixodida; Ixodidae.
GGCGCGUUUACUCCCCGCACUAAUUUAACACCGUUUUUGCCUUCACAGCAUGUGACCCGGCGCCAGCCCCAGCGCCAGUGCGGGACCGCUCGCAGUACGUGGCGAGCACAGUCAUCGUGCUGUGCAUCGUAGCCCUGGCGCUGGGCUACAUAUUUAUGACAACAGAAGGUGCCGGCCCUACAUCGACGGCCGUCACGACUGCGGGGUCUCCAGCACAGCUGGAAACAACUACCCCGGCGACUACGAAGGCUCCAGGCAUUCCAGG